CUAAAGGAUAACAGCCCAUCCGUUGGUCUUAGGAACCAAAAACUCUUGGUGCAAA
Molecule: transfer RNA, 55 nt
Filed under: Onychostoma sp. n. FH-2018
Lineage: Eukaryota; Metazoa; Chordata; Actinopteri; Cypriniformes; Cyprinidae
Description: tRNA-Leu
Source: RNAcentral